Molecule: long non-coding RNA, 1059 nt
Organism: Panthera uncia (snow leopard)
Lineage: Eukaryota; Metazoa; Chordata; Mammalia; Carnivora; Felidae
Exons: 3
Source: RefSeq, a predicted model, not a curated record
UCAGUGCGGACCCUGAUGGGCUCGAACUCACAAACUGUGAGAUCAUGACCUGAGCUGAAGUCAAGAGUCAGAUGCCUAAUGACUGAGCCACCCAGGGGCCCUCGUAUUUAAAAAAUCCCAUUGCUUCUAUUUCCAUUGCUAAUGAAUGCCUGGUCCAACACCGUUGCCUUUCACCUGGGAGGACAUGGCAGCCUCCUGACUGGUCUCCCUGUUGCUACUCUCUAUCCCUUUAUGUGGCCUGUUCCCCACAAAGCAGCCAGCGUUGUAUUUCCAAAACAUGAGUACGUCCCUCUGGACAGUGUCUUCAGCACCAAGCUCAUCCUUGGCAUGCACCAAUCACAGUGCCGGGGACAUUUCCCACCUCCAUGUCCUUGCCUGGGUAACUGCUGCUCAUCUGAGAUUCACUGGGGGAACCAUUCUGGGUCUCCUAGCUGGUUCUGUUCCUUCUCCACACAGCACUGGGGCCUCUCCCCUAUGGACUUACCGAGCAUUCACUAGCUCGUCUAAUCUGCAGACAUCCUACAAACUCCUGAGCCUGGCCAUUCUAGGCCCCUGGGAUGUCAGGAUGAACACGACACAGCCCCUGCCCUCAGUGAGUCCACAGUGCGAUGGGGGAAAACAGACAUUCGUCAGGCAUCAAGGAACAGAUAAGCAGGCGCUAUGAGAGGGGAAGGACCGGUGGUCAGAGGAGGCUUCCUUGAGAAGUGACAAUUGGUGGAUGUCUGAAGGGCCUUUGCCGGAGAAGUUCCCUCCAUCUAGUGGAGCUAACCAGCCCCAGGGUCUGGCCCAUAUGCAAGAGCUUCUCGGGACCCCCAGAACGCAGCACAGCUAUGCCAAUUUCAAUGGAGAACCAAGGAGAGGGAUGAGAAGGACGACGGCAGGGGGUAAGGUUGCCCUGGAAGGGGUCAGGACCAGUAAGAAAUGGGGGAAAGGCUUGGCGAGGACUGGGAGGGCGGACCUCUACGGCUAGGUCAAAGGGAGGAGACAGCCGAAAGGAAGGUGCUAUUGGAUGGGGCAGAGCAAUUUGCGGGCCGAUCGACGGGAUAGACAUACACGGCC